RNAcentral lists this ribosomal RNA (421 nucleotides) under uncultured bacterium. RNAcentral describes it as "bacterial SSU rRNA". It matches the Rfam family "Bacterial small subunit ribosomal RNA", at positions 356 to 773 of the family's 1533-position model. The record is from RNAcentral.
GAGGAAUAUUGGUUAAUGGGCGGAAGCCUGAACCAGCCAUGCCGCGUGCGGGAAGGAGGCCCUAUGGGCUGUGAACCGCUUUUGCCUGGGGGCAAUAAGGGCGUCGCGCACGUCCGAUGAGAGUACCAGGGGAAUAAGCAUCGGCUAACUCCGUGCCAGCAGCCGCGGUAAUACGGGGGAUGCGAGCGUUAUCCGGAUUCAUUGGGUUUAAAGGGUGCGUAGGCUGUGCGUCAAGUCAGGGGCGAAAUUCCGGGGCUCAACUCCGGGGCUGCCCUUGAUACUGUCGCGCUGGAGUGCGGAUGUCGCCGGAGGAAUGAGUGGUGUAGCGGUGAAAUGCUUAGAUAUCACUCAGAACACCGAUUGCGAAGGCAUCUGGCGAAUCCGUAACUGACGCUGAGGCACGAAAGCGUGGGGAUAGAAC